Octopus sinensis (East Asian common octopus) is the source of this 347-nucleotide long non-coding RNA. RefSeq lists it as uncharacterized. NCBI's taxonomy places the organism in Eukaryota, Metazoa, Mollusca, Cephalopoda, Octopoda, Octopodidae. The transcript is spliced from 3 exons. The record is from RefSeq and is a predicted model, not a curated record.
AUCGGUUUGUAAUUAUUACUCGUGAUCGUAAAAUUGUGGUUUCGAUUCCUGGACCAGGCGACGCGCUAUGUUCUUAAGCAAUACACUUCAUUUUCACAAUGCUGCAGUUUACUCAAAUGGCAAAAAUGAGUAAUCUGGCAAUGGAUCAGCGUCCUGUCCAGGUGGGGAAAUUUUAUAAGGGCCAUGGAAACCAGCCCUUAUGAGCCUGGCAUAGCUCGUGAAGGAACCAUUUUACCUAGAGAUCCCUCGGAAGAAAUUCAUUAAUCAGUUGCACAAUUGGUGUGUCAGUUGAGAAUAUGCAUUGGAGUGCACAUAUGCACACACACACACGAUGGUAAUAAGUUCUA